RNAcentral lists this long non-coding RNA (432 nucleotides) under Populus trichocarpa (black cottonwood). RNAcentral describes it as "long non-coding RNA (PTRI_LNC000106)". Lineage: Eukaryota; Viridiplantae; Streptophyta; Magnoliopsida; Malpighiales; Salicaceae. The record is from RNAcentral.
GAGUAUGGAGACAAAUGCAGGAUUGACUUUCAUGGAUAUUGCCCCCAUGCUAAAGAUCAAUGAGCUAGAAGACAUUUACCUUGGAAAAUAAGUGGAUGACUUGUGGAGCAUUAAGACGCGACUGCUAUGAAGAAGCAGAGGGCAUGCGCAGGUUCCGAGAACAAGUUGACUCUUGUCAAGGUGGUGAGCUCGGUGAAGGCAUUGUAAUACUCAGAGCAUCAAGACAUAUAUGGAUCAACCUUUAAUGGGCUGCCCCCAUGGUUUAAGGUGGAGAGCUACCUGGACUCUUGAGACUAAGAGCGGGAGACUCACGGAGAAGUUAGGCGUGGUUCCUAGGGAGGAACAGAGGGCAGACGCAACUCCGGGAUGAGUAGACUCUUGGAAGAGUAGUGAGCUCGUGAUCACAUUAAAAUACUCAAUGACUGUCGCACU